AUUUAAAGACAAUAAGAAGAUAGAGGUACUGACUUCUAUGCGUGCUGGGGUUUGUGCUAAAUCUCCUAGCACCAUUUGAAAUCAGUACUACUCUUCUUAG
Molecule: microRNA precursor, 100 nt
Filed under: Apis mellifera (honey bee)
Lineage: Eukaryota; Metazoa; Arthropoda; Insecta; Hymenoptera; Apidae
Description: microRNA ame-mir-29b precursor
Gene: ame-mir-29b
Source: miRBase by way of RNAcentral